UGUAGUCUGGUGUGUUGUAUGCAUGUUAUGUUUUGGUCAUGGAGGUAAUUUGGUAGUUGGCUGCAA
RNAcentral lists this transfer RNA (66 nucleotides) under Fasciola sp. GHL-2014. RNAcentral's name for it is "tRNA-Gln". The record is from RNAcentral. Lineage: Eukaryota; Metazoa; Platyhelminthes; Trematoda; Plagiorchiida; Fasciolidae.